This 119-nucleotide ribosomal RNA is filed under the name Gadus morhua (Atlantic cod). Lineage: Eukaryota; Metazoa; Chordata; Actinopteri; Gadiformes; Gadidae. The record is from RNAcentral.
GCUUACGGCCAUACCACCUUAGGCACGCCCGAUCUCGUCUGAUCUCGGAAGCUAAGCAGGGUCGGGCCUGGUUAGUACUUGGAUGGGUGACCGUCUGGGAAUACCAGGUGCUGUAAGCA